GGCACGGUGGUGCAGUGGGUAGCACUGUCGCCUCACAGCAGGAAGGCCGAGGGUUCGAAUCUCAGCUUGGGGCG
Molecule: transfer RNA, 74 nt
Filed under: Anguilla anguilla (European eel)
Lineage: Eukaryota; Metazoa; Chordata; Actinopteri; Anguilliformes; Anguillidae
Description: tRNA-OTHER
Source: RNAcentral